RNAcentral lists this ribosomal RNA (253 nucleotides) under uncultured bacterium. RNAcentral's name for it is "partial 16S ribosomal RNA". It matches the Rfam family "Bacterial small subunit ribosomal RNA", at positions 524 to 776 of the family's 1533-position model. The record is from RNAcentral.
UACGUAGGGUGCAAGCGUUAAUCGGAAUUACUGGGCGUAAAGCGUGCGCAGGCGGUUCUAUAAGACAGAUGUGAAAUCCCCGGGCUCAACCUGGGAACUGCAUUUGUGACUGUAGAGCUGGAGUACGGUAGAGGGGGAUGGAAUUCCGCGUGUAGCAGUGAAAUGCGUAGAGAUGCGGAGGAACACCGAUGGCGAAGGCAGCCCCCUGGGCUAACACUGACGCUCAGGCACGAAAGCGUGGGGAGCAAACAGG